Long non-coding RNA from Patella vulgata (common limpet), 1190 nucleotides. RefSeq lists it as uncharacterized. Lineage: Eukaryota; Metazoa; Mollusca; Gastropoda; Patellidae. The transcript is spliced from 7 exons. The record is from RefSeq and is a predicted model, not a curated record.
ACAAGGAAGUUAUAGGAAAACUAAAGUUUGGUCUUAAAUUCGAUCUGAGGAGACCAGAGAAAUGGCGUAUGCCACAGGAGAUUAUGACGAAUUAAACUUUGAAGUUGUAAGAGAAUUGGGAAAGGGGUCAUUUGGAGUUGUUCACCUAAUUUCGCACAAUAAAACCGAAGAACAGUUAGCCAGGAAAACAAUAAGUCUCAAGAAUUUGUCAGAGGCUGACAAACAAGCCACACAGAAAGAAGUGGAAGUGAUGAAGACAACUAAUGAUCAUCCACAUAUCUUGUGUUUAAAAUGGGCUACAAGAACAAAAGAUUAUCUAUACAUAUACACCGAAUACUGUUCUCGUGGAGAUCUUCAAAACCUUUUAAACCAAUUGAAAAAGCCAGCUUUUCCAGAGAAGCUGAUAGUUUGCUGGCUGGGUCAAAUAGCUGAUGCUUUAAAGUACCUACAUGGUAAGAGGAUCAUACAUCGAGACUUAAAACCAGCCAACAUAUUUUUAACUGGAAAAGCUGAUAUUAAAAUCGGUGAUUUGGGUAUAGCCAGGGUUAUGAAAGUGACAGAGCCACUACCGAAGACAAUAAUUGGUACUCCUGUUUACACGAGUCCAGAAAUGUUUAAUGGUCGUGGAUACAAUGGGAAGACAGAUAUCUGGAGUUUGGGUUGUGUUAUAUAUGAAUUGGCUACAAAUAAGCUGGCAAUUACUGCUUCACAUCGUACUGGUAUUGGCAUGACCUUGAGUGAACCACCAUCAAACCUACCAGACACAUACAGUCAAGAAUUGUGUAGUGUUACCUUAGCUAUGCUGUGUAAAGAUCCAGACUCUCGGCUAAACGCACAAGAUAUCAUCAGUAGGGAGCCAGUAAAAAGUUAUCUUCGAGAACCUUAUCUUCCACAGCCAGAGUUCGAAUCUCUGAAAUCAACAAGACUCAUUUAAUUUUGGGCCAAAACAACCGAUUAAGACUUCUGCGGAAAUGUAUCGUACAGAUAUUGGUGUGCCAAAAGACGUCCUCUCCACACAAAAUAUGGAUAGCGACCAAAUAACUGAAGCUCAUGUAGCUUUCUCAGACAAUUAAUCAAUGAGUGUACAUGUAUUAAAUUGAAUUUAAAGGAGCUAAACCGCUAAUAUUUUGGAUCUAGAAAUUGACACAAAUGGGUCGCAACGCAUAUAAUAAUGUACUGUGAAUGUAUAU